Molecule: ribosomal RNA, 254 nt
Filed under: uncultured bacterium
Lineage: Bacteria
Description: partial 16S ribosomal RNA
Rfam family: Bacterial small subunit ribosomal RNA
Source: RNAcentral
UACAGAGGGUGCGAGCGUUGUCCGGAAUCACUGGGCGUAAAGGGCGCGUAGGUGGUGGCUUAAGCGUGCGGUGAAAGCUCGGAGCUCAACUCCGAGUCGGCCGUGCGAACUGGGCUCACUGGUGCAUAGUAGAGGCAGGUGGAAUUCCGGGUGUAGCGGUGGAAUGCGUAGAGAUCCGGAAGAACACCGGUGGCGAAGGCGGCCUGCUGGGCUAUGGCUGACACUGAGGCGCGACAGCGUGGGGAGCAAACAGG